This is a long non-coding RNA of Pezoporus occidentalis (night parrot), 683 nucleotides long. RefSeq lists it as uncharacterized. The transcript has 2 exons. The record is from RefSeq and is a predicted model, not a curated record. Lineage: Eukaryota; Metazoa; Chordata; Aves; Psittaciformes; Psittacidae.
GAUGGACGACUUUGUGCUGAGAGAACGGCUGCGGUUGGGGACCUGGGUGGAAACGAGCGCCUUCCCGAAUAGAAUGCUGAGCGGUGGCACUGUAAAACAGCCGCAACACAAGAAAGCAGCUCCCUUCCGCUGUCUGAAUACCAGCCUUCACUGGAAACAAUUGAGACAUUCCCGGGGACAGCAAGUUGGCUCUGCUGGAAGAGCUGAAGAGGUGUGCCAACUGAAGCUACAAAACUGGGGCUAAAGAGGUCACAACCUUCCUCAGGGAUAUAGUGCAAACCAGAAAGAUAAAAAUCACAAUGCCAUCUUUUCCUCUCAAGUCACCUUCCCCCAAUGUUUCUUUUGAAGGGUAAACAGAUCUGGGGGGUCUCUGGACGGCUAGGCUGCUGACAGUCCUCACCCCAUGUCUCCUCUGAAAGAGCAAUUUCUGGUAGCCUUAUACAGGCAUUGUGCAAUACUUGUGGAUUUUGAUUGACAAGGCUGCUAUUCCAUCUUAUUUCUGCUGCUUGACUUGCACUAGGGAAAUUCUUCAUACCCUCUCUCUGCCUUCCUUAUUUUUAAAUACCUCUGGAGGAAGGAGGAUGAUGGCUGGGAGGCAGGCAUGUUCCUGACCUUAAUGUCUGUACAGCACUUUGAAUAAGAAAGAAGUCAGUACUAAAUACAGCCAUCAUAAUGUGUCUAAA